GAUGAACGCUGGCGGCGUGCCUAAUACAUGCAAGUCGAGCGAACGGACGAGAAGCUUGCUUCUCUGAUGUUAGCGGCGGACGGGUGAGUAACACGUGGAUAACCUAACUAUAAGACUGGGAUAACGUCGGGAAACCGGAGCUAAUACCGGAUAAUAUUUUGAACCGCAUUGUUCAAAAGUGAAAGACGGUCUUGCUGUCACUUAUAGAUGGAUCCGCGCUGCAUUAGUUAGUUGGUAAGGUAACUGCUUACCAAGGCAACGAUGCAUAGCCGACCUGAGAGGGUGAUUCGCUACACUGGAUCUGAGACACGUCCCCGACUCUUACGGGAGGCCGCAGUAGGGACUCCUCCGCGAUGCGCGAAAGCCUGAUGUAGCAACGUCGCGUGAGUCAUGAACCUCUUAGGAUCGUAAAACUAUGUUAUUCGGGAAGAACAUAUGUGUAAGUACCCGUGCUCAUCUUGACGGUACCUAAUCAGAAAGCUCCGGCUAACUACGUG
This 497-nucleotide ribosomal RNA is filed under the name uncultured bacterium. Its description in RNAcentral is "partial 16S ribosomal RNA". It matches the Rfam family "Bacterial small subunit ribosomal RNA", at positions 28 to 507 of the family's 1533-position model. The record is from RNAcentral.